UAGGGAAUCUUCCGCAAUGGGCGAAAGCCUGACGGAGCAACGCCGCGUGAGUGAUGAAGGUCUUCGGAUCGUAAAACUCUGUUAUUAGGGAAGAACAAAUGUGUAAGUAACUAUGCACGUCUUGACGGUACCUAAUCAGAAAGCCACGGCUAACUACGUGCCAGCAGCCGCGGUAAUACGUAGGUGGCAAGCGCUAUCCGGAAUUAUUGGGCGUAAAGCGCGCGUAGGCGGUUUUUUAAGUCUGAUGUGAAAGCCCACGGCUCAACCGUGGAGGGUCAUUGGAAACUGGAAAACUUGAGUGCAGAAGAGGAAAGUGGAAUUCCAUGUGUAGCGGUGAAAUGCGCAGAGAUAUGGAGGAACACCAGUGGCGAAGGCGACUUUCUGGUCUGUAACUGACGCUGAUGUGCGAAAGCGGGGGGAUCAAACAGG
This 429-nucleotide ribosomal RNA is filed under the name Actinomycetes bacterium. Its description in RNAcentral is "Actinobacteria bacterium partial 16S ribosomal RNA". It matches the Rfam family "Bacterial small subunit ribosomal RNA", at positions 355 to 776 of the family's 1533-position model. The record is from RNAcentral. Lineage: Bacteria; Bacillati; Actinomycetota; Actinomycetes.